This 372-nucleotide long non-coding RNA is filed under the name Homo sapiens (human). RNAcentral's name for it is "non-protein coding lnc-M1AP-7:1". Lineage: Eukaryota; Metazoa; Chordata; Mammalia; Primates; Hominidae. The record is from RNAcentral.
AUGCUGAGAAAGGUAGCUGCCAAACCUUGACUGCAAUAACAAUAACAAAAAUUAAAAACCUAAAAUAAUAAGUAUAUCAUACUGACCUUUCCUGUUUACCUUGCUGUAGGUACCACAUCUGUGUGACUGUGCUGAUCUACUUCCUCCCCCUGCUGGUGAUUGGCUAUGCAUACACCGUAGUGGGAAUCACACUAUGGGCCAGUGAGAUCCCCGGGGACUCCUCUGACCGCUACCACGAGCAAGUCUCUGCCAAGCGCAAGGUGAGCAGGGGACAGGCAGAACUAACCCACCCUGGCACAGACAACAGGCUGUCGAGAAGGGAUGGCACACUUGUGAGCCCCAGAGGCAGCUAGCACAAAAUAUCCCCAGGUA